Molecule: ribosomal RNA, 455 nt
Filed under: uncultured bacterium
Lineage: Bacteria
Description: bacterial SSU rRNA
Rfam family: Bacterial small subunit ribosomal RNA
Source: RNAcentral
UACGGAAGCAGCAGUGGGGAAUAUUGCACAAUGGGCGAAAGCCUGAUGCAGCUAUGCCGCGUGUAUGAAGAAGGCCUUAGGGUUGUAAAGUACUUUCAUCGGGGAGGAAAAAACAAAACUAAUAAUUUUAUUUCUUGACGUUACCCGAAAAAGAAGCACCGGCUAACUCCGUGCCAGCAGCCGCGGUAAUACGGAGGGUGCUAGCGUUAAUCAGAAUUACUGGGCGUAAAGAGCACGUAGGUGGUUUUUUUAAAGUCAGAUGUGAAAUCCCUGGGCUUAACCUGGAACUGCAUUUUGAAACUGAAAUACUAGAGUAUCGUAGAGGGAGGUAGAAUUCUAGGUGUAGCGGUGAAAUGCGUAGAUAUCUGGAGGAAUACCUGUGGCGAAAGCGGCCUCCUAAACGAAUACUGACACUGAGGUGCGAAAGCGUGGGGAGCAAACAGGGAUUAGAUACC